UAGGGAAUCUUCCACAAUGGACGCAAGUCUGACGGAGCAACGCCGCGUGAGUGAAGAAGGAUUUCGGUUCGUAAAACUCUGUUGUUAGAGAAGAACAGCGCAUAGAGUAACUGUUAUGCGUGUGACGGUAUCUAACCAGAAAGCCACGGCUAACUACGUGCCAGCAGCCGCGGUAAUACGUAGGUGGCAAGCGUUGUCCGGAUUUAUUGGGCGUAAAGCGAGCGCAGGCGGUCAAUUAAGUCUGAUGUGAAAGCCCCCGGCUCAACCGGGGAGUGUCAUUGGAAACUGGUUGACUUGAGUGCAGAAGAGGAGAGUGGAAUUCCAUGUGUAGCGGUGAAAUGCGUAGAUAUAUGGAGGAACACCAGUGGCGAAGGCGGCUCUCUGGUCUGUAACUGACGCUGAGGCUCGAAAGCGUGGGUAGCAAACAGG
Molecule: ribosomal RNA, 429 nt
Filed under: Bacteroidota bacterium
Lineage: Bacteria; Pseudomonadati; Bacteroidota
Description: Bacteroidetes bacterium partial 16S ribosomal RNA
Rfam family: Bacterial small subunit ribosomal RNA
Source: RNAcentral